UGCUGGCUUUUGUGUGGAGCUCAGGGAGAAGCUGGGCUGCCCUUUCUCCCGCCUUUCCCUCCCUCUCCCUUGCUCCCGCAGCAGCUCCAUGGGUGUCAGCGGGCAGCACGGGCGCCUGCAGGAAGUCAGGCGAGGGUGAACCGAAGUGCUGGGGGUUUCUAGGAGGGAGAUCGGGCUCCGGGGUUCCAGGUCCCUCUUAAUCCAUCUUCUUGAACGAGUAA
RNAcentral lists this long non-coding RNA (221 nucleotides) under Homo sapiens (human). RNAcentral's name for it is "long non-coding RNA NONHSAT203738". The record is from RNAcentral. Lineage: Eukaryota; Metazoa; Chordata; Mammalia; Primates; Hominidae.